UGCGUAGGGUGCAGGCGUUAAUCGGAAUUACUGGGCGUAAAGCGUGCGCAGGCGGUCUUUUAAGUCAGAUGUGAAAUCCCCGGGCUUAACCUGGGAACUGCGUUUGAAACUGGAAGGCUAGAGUGUGGCAGAGGGGGGUGGAAUUCCGCGUGUAGCAGUGAAAUGCGUAGAUAUGCGGAGGAACACCGAUGGCGAAGGCAAUCCCCUGGGCCUGUACUGACGCUCAUGCACGAAAGCGUGGGGAGCAAACAGG
This 253-nucleotide ribosomal RNA is filed under the name uncultured bacterium. RNAcentral's name for it is "partial 16S ribosomal RNA". It matches the Rfam family "Bacterial small subunit ribosomal RNA", at positions 524 to 776 of the family's 1533-position model. The record is from RNAcentral.